GUCUGGAUGAUUCUCGUAAAACAAUGUCCGAUCUUGAAAUGAAGUUAAAAUUUAUUUAUACUGCUUAUUUGACAAAAUCUUAUAACUAUGACAAAGGGUCAUUGUUGUUUGUCAUUUGUUUCAUUUCAAAUGGUCUUAAGAAGAAAUUAUAAACAUUUCGCCUGAUCUCACUGAAGCUUACAGCUAAUUUCCUAAUGUAUGUAGAUCAACACUUUAGUUAGUUGCUUGCUUUGUUUGUAUAUUUUGUAUAAUUAUAUUUUGAUAAUGUCCAAUUCAAUUUAAAUAUCAUAUUCAUACAGGUUUACAUAC
RNAcentral lists this long non-coding RNA (309 nucleotides) under Mytilus galloprovincialis (Mediterranean mussel). The record is from RNAcentral. Lineage: Eukaryota; Metazoa; Mollusca; Bivalvia; Mytilida; Mytilidae.